Molecule: transfer RNA, 74 nt
Filed under: Firmicutes bacterium CAG:882
Lineage: Bacteria; Bacillati; Bacillota
Rfam family: tRNA
About the family: Transfer RNA (tRNA) molecules are approximately 80 nucleotides in length. Their secondary structure includes four short double-helical elements and three loops (D, anti-codon, and T loops).
Source: Rfam by way of RNAcentral
GGCGAGGUAGCUCAGUUGGCUAGAGCACAUGGUUCAUACCCAUGGUGUCGGGAGUUCGAAUCUCUUCCUCGCUA